RNAcentral lists this ribosomal RNA (497 nucleotides) under uncultured bacterium. Its description in RNAcentral is "partial 16S ribosomal RNA". It matches the Rfam family "Bacterial small subunit ribosomal RNA", at positions 28 to 507 of the family's 1533-position model. The record is from RNAcentral.
GAUGAACGCUGGCGGCGUGCCUAAUACAUGCAAGUCGAGCGAACAGACGAGGAGCUUGCUCCUCUGACGUUAGCGGCGGACGGGAGAGUAACACGUGGAUAACCUACCUAUAAGACUGGGAUAACUUCGGGAAACCGGAGCUAAUACCGGAUAAUAUAUUGAACCGCAUGGUUCAAUAGUGAAAGACGGUUUUGCUGUCACUUAUAGAUGGAUCCGCGCCGCAUUAGCUAGUUGGUAAGGUAACGGCUUACCAAGGCAACGAUGCGUAGCCGACCUGAGAGGGUGAUCGGCCACACUGGAACUGAGACACGGUCCAGACUCCUACGGGAGGCAGCAGUAGGGAAUCUUCCGCAAAGGGCGAAAGCUUGACGGAGCAACGCCGCGUGAGUGAUGAAGGUCUUCGGAUCGUAAAACUCUGUUAUUAGGGAAGAACAAAUGUGUAAGUAACUAUGCACGUCUUGACGGUACCUAAUCAGAAAGCCACGGCUAACUACGUG